RNAcentral lists this ribosomal RNA (496 nucleotides) under uncultured bacterium. RNAcentral's name for it is "partial 16S ribosomal RNA". It matches the Rfam family "Bacterial small subunit ribosomal RNA", at positions 28 to 506 of the family's 1533-position model. The record is from RNAcentral.
GAUGAACGCUGGCGGCGUGCCUAAUACAUGCAAGUCGAGCGAACGGACGAGAAGCUUGCUUCUCUGAUGUUAGCGGCGGACGGGUGAGUAACACGUGGAUAACCUACCUCUAAGACUGGGAGAACUUCGGGAAACCGGAGCUAAUACCGGAUAAUAUUUUGAACCGCAUGGUUCAAAAGUGAAUGACGGUCUUGCUGUCACUUAUAGAUGGAUCCGCGCUGCAUUAGCUAGUUGGUAAGGUAACGGCUUACCAAGGCAACGAUGCAUAUCCGACCUGAGAGGGUGAUCGGCCACACGGGAACUGAGACACGCUCCAGACUCCAACGGGAGGCAGCAGUAGGAAAUCUUCCGAAAUGGGCGAAAGCCUGACGGAGCAACGCGGCGUGAGUGAGAAAGGUCUUCGGAUCGUAAAACUCUGUUAUUAGGGAAGAACAUAUGUGUAAGUAACUGUGCACAUCUGGAGGGUACCGAAGCAGAAAGCCCCGGCAAACUACGU